CGGCCCCUGGGCAAGCCUGGUCUAUGCCGCCCCGACGGGGGAGAUCGGUGGUUCGAAUCCACCGGGGCCGAC
Molecule: transfer RNA, 72 nt
Filed under: Mycobacterium phage MalagasyRose
Lineage: Duplodnaviria; Heunggongvirae; Uroviricota; Caudoviricetes
Description: tRNA-OTHER
Source: RNAcentral